Lutra lutra (Eurasian river otter) is the source of this 1772-nucleotide long non-coding RNA. RefSeq lists it as uncharacterized. NCBI's taxonomy places the organism in Eukaryota, Metazoa, Chordata, Mammalia, Carnivora, Mustelidae. The transcript is spliced from 4 exons. The record is from RefSeq and is a predicted model, not a curated record.
CACCCCCGGGCCUCGCCCUCCCGGGCCGCGCCUCCUCUGGUCCUGGCGGGCCUUGGGCCUCCCUUCUCUCCCUGCCUCCGCUCCUCCUCCCCGCCCCAGGCCUCGCGCCCCGGGCACCCCGCUGCCGGCGCCCCACCUCGGCUCGCCUCCCCCUGGGCCAUCUUCCCGGGGCCGCUUCCACGCGGUUCUGUCCCAGGAGGGAGAACGGAAAGAGGAACUGAGGACCCCUUGCUGGGGAAGUCAGGCCGGGAAAAGAACCUACUGAAGCGGGUUUGGGGGCGGAGAUAGGGUUAGACGUUGGGGACUUUCAAAGUAGGGAGGCGGACGGGAAGGACACGGUUCUGGCCGGUCGCCUUCCCCAUUUUGCAGCUCACACCCCUGUUGCUGACCCUCCAGGGAGGGAGACCCUUCCCGCUGAGCCGUCGUGGGCAGGCGGGGGCCCACCCGGAGGCCGGCCGGGCCAGGCCGGGGCGCUUGGCAGCCGUGGGUGCUCACAGUCCCCCCGCGCCCCCCGCCCCGGCUCCCCGCCCGCGCUGCGGGGCAAACCCUGCAGGGAGACGGGCUUUGGGACACGAAAGUGGAGUGUUGGGCGUGACUCUGACACUCGUCCUCCUCGCUGAACCUAGGGCAUUGGCUCUUAAGGCCUUGCUUUCCUGCCUGUGCGUCUCGGAAUACACGGGUCACGGAAAAGCAGGCCAAUUCAGCAGAACGAACUAAGCCCUCUCUGGUGACUUGGAGAAAACUCUGCCUAUGCAAAUCAUGGCUCCGUAUUUCUUUUAUAACAUGGUACAGCCCUGACCUCUCUCUGAACUCCAGUCCUCCCGCUUCCCCAUGUUUGCUGGACAGUCCCUCCUGGGCACCUGCUCCCUUCUCACCCUCCAGCAGAUUCCCAUUGGACAUGACAUCGCCACACAGGGAGAGCUGGGGGUCACAAGGCUUUCCUGGAGAGUGAGAUUGUCUCUCUGCCCUUCCUGUUCAUCCUCCCUGGGCGAGAGGCUGCGCUCACCCACCAGACAGACACACUGAGUGCCAGCCUCUGCUUCAAACAGAGGCCAUGCCUUGUCCCCUCUCUCAUCUGGCUUCCACUCAACAGAGCAGCUGAAGAAGUGGCACCUCAAGGGCUCCCCGACUAUUUUUAUGUGGCCAUCUGCCUUCUCGACAGGGCCUGGCAGGCAGCAACCCUCCCGAGGAAUGCCACAGCAGGUGGGUGACGCCCAGACAGCUGCGGAUGCCCAGCCCUGCCCUUGACUGUUGUUCUGGGGACGCUGGAAUUGUGGCGCAAGGAUACCAGGAGGAAAAAGGAAGCCUUUUUCAUGUCGUGGCUGGGGCAUGAUGUGGGUGCCCUUCUGUUCUUUUUCCGUUUCUAGGACAAGCUAAGUGCAGUUCUGCCCUGCCAUUGCUAGGACCCGGGUGGCAGGGCUGAGUGGGGAGCACAGUGUGGGGGGCAGCAACACGGGCCACCUGCGGACCUUAGUGCCGUCAGAGGAGACAGCACAGCAAGGAGGCUCUGCAGAGGGGAACGUACUCAGUGUAAGCCUCAGGCUUCAGCUGUAAUAAGACCCCGGGGUGUCCCUGCAGCCCACCCUGCCUGAAAGCUGAACUUGGGGCCACAUGGGAGCAGAUGGGGAUUUUCUCCAGAAACGUGGAUUGGCCGGGGACCAUGGUCAGAUCUGUGGUUAGGGAAGGGCUUCCUUACUCAUAGUUCCCGGGAAUGGAGGGAGCAUUAAAAAUCAAUCAAUAGGGGCACCUGGGUGGGUCAGUCGUUAAACAUU